GCAGAAGUGCGGAUGGUCGCUUCACGCCGGGAGCGUGAAGAGGAAAGUCCGGGCAACACAGAGCGACAUAUUUUCUAACGGAAAGCCGGAGGCGACUUCGGGGAUUAAUGUGACAGAAAACAACCGCCUCCCUUGCUUAGCGCCGAUGAGGCGCAGGAGUAUGGCAGGUAAGGGUGAAAAGGUGGAGUAAGAGCCCACCGGUCUUCAUGGCGACAUGAAGAGCCGCACAUCCUAUGCGUUGCAAGGCCAAGUAUACCGGCGAUUAAGGAUUGCUCGUCCUUGCCGGAGGGUAGGCCGCUAAAGUAGGCGGGCAACCGUCGGACUCAGAUAAAUGACCAUCGGCCGAGGAUUAAAUUCCACGGCUACAUAACCCGGCUUAUAACACUUCUGCCCUA
RNAcentral lists this RNase P RNA (395 nucleotides) under Muribaculaceae bacterium. RNAcentral's name for it is "RNase P RNA component class A". It matches the Rfam family "Bacterial RNase P class A". Rfam says of the family: Ribonuclease P (RNase P) is a ubiquitous endoribonuclease, found in archaea, bacteria and eukarya as well as chloroplasts and mitochondria. Its best characterised activity is the generation of mature 5'-ends of tRNAs by cleaving the 5'-leader elements of precursor-tRNAs. Cellular RNase Ps are ribonucleoproteins. Lineage: Bacteria; Pseudomonadati; Bacteroidota; Bacteroidia; Bacteroidales; Muribaculaceae. The record is from RNAcentral.